UUCAAACACGACAAAAACAUACACAAAUAGCUGUUCUCUCAUUUCCAGGGUUAAACCCUCACCGAAAGCACCAAAAGACCUUAAAGAACACCAUGUCCUUCAUCACCGAAACCACUGACACUCGGCAGAAGAAGAAUUAAAACCUUUUCUCACUCUAAAACCUUUUUGUUUCUCUACAUUAAAGAAACCCUGUUCUUCACUUUGCUGAAACCACUGUUCUUCACUUCGCCGUGCUUUAGGUGUUGUAUUGAUCGUAGUGAGAAGUUGGUUCGAAGCUCGGUCCGUGGAAGCUGGUUGGUUCAGAAAUUACAAUGUCGGUUGAUUUAGCACUUUAAGGUAGUGGACAAACUGUUUAGAAUUUAUUGAAGUUCGAUUCACUUAAGGUUUUGCAUUUUAGCUGCUGUUGAGGGAUUGCUGCCUGCUAUUGAAGUUCUACUCACUUUAAGAUAUGGCUAGAGGCAGAGGUCGAGGUAGCGGAGGUUGCUUAGGCAAGUCCUCAGUUAGGGGUGAUUCUGCUAUUCGUGCAACCAUGCCUAGCAUUCCCAUUUCCACCACAAUUAGUCCUCAACAAGGUGGUAUGACUUUCCUAGGUGGCCAGAUCCUAUAAACCGUAGUAGGAAGUUUGAUUCCUUGUCUUUUUCGAGUUAAAGUUAGACGUAAAGUACUAUAAAUUACGAUCUUAUAAUUAAAAAUGAUUAGAAAACAUUUGAAAAAGUCGUAGUCAAGGAAAACUGUUUGACUUCCAAAUAGUAAUGGUUUCUUGUAAAAUGAAGCAGAAGGAAUACUUCGCAAAUGACACUGUAACUUUUGCUGAUUGUAGGAUCAUACUUGAUUGAAAGUCCAAAUGUCAAACUCUAGUUUUCUCCACAAUGUUGUGUUUGUUAGAUAUGAGAUGCAAGAGUUCAACAAAGCUCAUCACUUUACAAUGGAAAAAAGUUCAGGUAUGGUGGAUACAACUUCGAUGUAGGGAAUGAUCCCAAGCAAGAGUCUCAUGUUUCCCUUCAUCUUGGUCUGACAGAUUAUAGAACUGCAUAUAUCAUUUCACAGAGCAGGCACUUAGAGAAUAUGGAUAUGAUUCUGACUAUUCUCCUGGUUACAAGACUACAAUUCAUUUGUACUAAAAGAUGUGACUUGGUUUUCGCCAGAUGAUUGUAUUGAGUGUCAGCACACAUCAAGUCCUCUUGGUAAUGGUGCAGUUGUGGAGACUUUUGACAGAAGAAUACUUGUGCUUCAGAGAAGUAAUAAAGUUGGAGAAUUCCCUGGAUAUUUUGUUUUCCUGGAGGCCAUCCAGAGGUAUCUCAUCUCAUGUUGUAAGUUAUAAGGUUGAGAUCCAACACCAAGUGAGGUACAUUUGAACGUCCAUACACAUGAUCAUGAUGGAGAAUCUUUUGUUGAUGAGCGUGCCCGAGCUGUCCAUGAAAGAUAUCUAGAAAUAUUACGGGAAAAAUCAGAGACUGAGCUAUUGAUCAAUGUGAAGCAUAUUAUGAAGCUGCUGGAGGAGCAAAGAAGAGAUGAAGUCUUGGAUCUCAAGCGCAAAGUUAUUACGGGCUGAAUCUUCGUGUCAAUUCUAGCUUAAAUGCUUCAUCAUCAGCACCACCUCCAAUUUCUAAACCAGCACCGACAGAAAAUAUGGAGGAGUUAGUGAUGCGAUUGAUUCCUACACUGACUGAUCGCAUGCUUCCUGUAUUUAUUGAGCAGACACGCAGGGUGAUUUCUUGACCAUCACAUCAUCCAAAUACACUCCUAUCGACAACCCAUUAGUUGUGACACCUAUAGUGCCUCCUACUACUACUGCUAAUGUUGACGAUGUUGAUCCUUUAGUUUCUGAUGAUGAUCGUAGUCCUCCACCCAUGCAUUAGUUUUUGAUAUUAUCUGUUUUUUGUUGGAAAGAACAAAUUAUGCACUAACCAUACUUGACGGAUGUGGGUUCUUUUGGUAGUUGAUAGCUUGAUGUUAUCAA
This is an RNA transcript of Lycium ferocissimum, 1960 nucleotides long. It is a transcript of the gene named nudix hydrolase 9-like, with no coding region annotated. The record is from RefSeq and is a predicted model, not a curated record. The transcript has 9 exons. Lineage: Eukaryota; Viridiplantae; Streptophyta; Magnoliopsida; Solanales; Solanaceae.